This is a non-coding RNA of Nothobranchius furzeri (turquoise killifish), 69 nucleotides long. The record is from Ensembl. Lineage: Eukaryota; Metazoa; Chordata; Actinopteri; Cyprinodontiformes; Nothobranchiidae.
AGGUUAUUAGUUUAAUAAAAACAUUUGAAUUCGGCUUAAAAAAUUGUGGUUAAACUCCAUAAUAACCCU